RNAcentral lists this long non-coding RNA (1888 nucleotides) under Megachile rotundata (alfalfa leafcutting bee). RNAcentral's name for it is "uncharacterized LOC105663935, transcript variant X1". The record is from RNAcentral. Lineage: Eukaryota; Metazoa; Arthropoda; Insecta; Hymenoptera; Megachilidae.
AUGUCCUCAGGGAUUUCGAAAUCCUUCAAUACGUCCUUGGUCUCGUCCGGGUUGAACCAGGAGAGGUAUCUGCGAUUCGAACAGAUACCUAAGCGCACACGUCUUCCCACGUGUUGUUAUUCACCACCGCGGACUUCACCGCCUGCUCGAUCUUGUAGAUCUGAGAAGAAAGAAGAUAUACACAAGAUUGAAGCUGUUGAGUUACAAACGGCUCGUGCGUUCAGCUCACAGAUUUCAGUGCAAGGAAAAUCUGAUGAGUCGUAAAUACGUUUCAAAGAAUGAUCAUGCGUAAAGUAGAAAAGAACCUUCGCAGAUACUCGUAUAAUUCAUGAUCGCCUAUGUACCGAGCGCAGCACUUCGGGUUCCAGAACAUUCGGCGCCGUGACGAUGAUACAUUCGUAUCGGAAAUCGUCCCGGAAGUGUUUCUUCACCCAGGCUGCAUCGAAGAACAGUCCCGAGCCGCAGAUACAGUUUAGGCAGAAGGAUACCAACAGCCAGAGCCACGGUCUUUUGCCAAUACUCAGGCCAAUGCUGAAAAUAAUGCUGAAUUUGGCGACUGUACUCCGCAUUUGAGCAUUAUCGAGAAUGGAUUUGGAAUCGAGGAGCUGAAUCAUGAGAAUGAAGUCAUUCGAGAAGCAAUCUUCCACAAACUUUCAUGUCGCUACGUUAGCGUUAAAGGAUAUCCUUGGCUAGCAAAACGCUGGAUCAGCAUUGCUGUUAUACAAAUCAUCUAUGAUUGGCCUCAUAAAUUUAAUAUAAUUCAAAGAAUACAAAGAGCAAGAAAGUUAGAUUGUAUUAAACGUACUCCAUUGAUUUCUUAAAAAUAUUAUAAAGCAUAUCAAGCAGAAUGUGUUGCCCCUGAGAAAUCUCAGUGGUACCCGCGUCAGAGAACAUGUUAGAUGAAUGAGGUUCUACUAUAUCUAACAGUGUAAUCAUAUCGUUAAUAAUUGUCAUUAUAACGCUUUAUUCUGCACGUGGCCAUUUUCACUGUGUCAAUCGAGUUAAAUGAGACUGAUUUGAUCUUCAAAGGAAUCGUCACACGUUGAACAUGAUUCUAAGCAUCGAUCGAUCUUCCAGGUUGCGAGUUUCUUCAUCGAGUUACAAUGCAGUUUCAAUUGGAAGGAUAACCGUGGUAUAAUCCUUUAAGUAAUUAAGCAAUUAGAAAGGAAAUGAUCUUUAAAUAAGACGAUGUUAAACUCAAAGGGUGGCGCCAGAGGAAUUGGCUACCCAAUAUAGGCCAAUUCGUGGAACAAAAUGGGCAUUCAGCUAAUUAAGGGGGCUGCGAUGAUCUCACCUUAAGUGGAUCAAAUUAUACAGGGUUCAAGCUCCGAAACUUAACGAGAUUUAUUACAUUUUCGUUAUUCGAUUGAACACCCGGUUAAAGACACCACGAAUGCAACCACGACGUGGUUCUUCAAUUGCAAUUUAAGCGGCGGUCAUUAACGACAAUUAAGAUCGAAUUACCUCAAAGAAGUUUUAUCAAUUGAAUUUACGGGAUGACAUUGCUUUUCCUACGAAAGAUUUCUUUUCAGAAUCAUACACGUCGUGUUUAUCUUUGAAAGGCAACCUUGUCUGUGAUCCGUGUCAAUGUGAAAUGCCAAUAGUGCAGGCGCACCGCGAAAACGGAGAUAAUGCACUUCCGACAGAAGAACGCGAUCAUGCUCAAUUUGCCGACAUCCGAUCUAUUUUUUUCUUUUUGGAGACUGUUUACGUCAAGGAUGUUCUCAUCGAAAAUAGAUCUGACAAUUUGAAUGUUUGGAACGAGGAUACUUCAAUGUCGCUGUCUGUGGAACUACGUGCAGGUCGAGAAGUAUGUCCUUCAGCUGUCUCCACGUGAUCGUCGUGGAUGCGUUUCCUCUUGGUUGCGUUUCCAUCCUUGAGGUGCGAC